This is a long non-coding RNA of Cyprinodon tularosa, 184 nucleotides long. RefSeq lists it as uncharacterized. The transcript is spliced from 2 exons. NCBI's taxonomy places the organism in Eukaryota, Metazoa, Chordata, Actinopteri, Cyprinodontiformes, Cyprinodontidae. The record is from RefSeq and is a predicted model, not a curated record.
CUCACAGCUGCUGCCUGUCGCAACUUCGUGUUACUCAAGCUGUUGAGAUUCGGCUAUUGUCUGUAACAUUACAGUUCAACAUUGCAGGGUCACCUGCGGUGUCCCGCCAGCUAUGGAGCCGACUGCUGAUAGCCUGAGGGACUUCUUGAAAGAUAGAGGUGUCAGCGAAGAGUUUAUUCAGAAA